Molecule: long non-coding RNA, 438 nt
Organism: Pipra filicauda (Wire-tailed manakin)
Lineage: Eukaryota; Metazoa; Chordata; Aves; Passeriformes; Pipridae
Exons: 3
Source: RefSeq, a predicted model, not a curated record
GCGUGUGAGGGCUGCGGGUGCGUCCCCGCUGCUGCCCGGGCUGCGGAGGGGAGAGCGCCUUGGCCGCUGGCCUGGCUCGUGGUUUCCCCUGGUGCGGAGGCGAGUUGUGCUUCCUGCUGGGAGAGAGAAGGGCCUUGGGAAGCUGCUCCAUGAGCCACAGCUGUGCCGAGCCCGGGAGUCUGUCCAGCAGGAUGUCGAGUGCCACCAUGUCCCCGAGGUCAACCUUUCUGCUGUUGGGAGAGCACGAGGUGGAUGGAGAGGAUCCACAGGCAUCUGCAGGCACAAGGGACUCGUACAACUGCGAUUUUCCUCCAGCCCUCGUGAGAAGGACUUUCAGGAUCCUGUUGGGAAUGUGCCAGUUCUCCUGCUGGAGCUUUUCUGUGGAAUAUUUGAACACAAAGAGUAAAACUAAAGUCAGGUUUGUUCUGGAGUAUGUUA